Molecule: long non-coding RNA, 1065 nt
Filed under: Anser brachyrhynchus (Pink-footed goose)
Lineage: Eukaryota; Metazoa; Chordata; Aves; Anseriformes; Anatidae
Description: lncRNA (ENSABRG00000017111.1)
Source: RNAcentral
AUGAUGGGAAUUAAAAAAAAAAGGCACCACGCGGAAAUGCCACCGAGGGAGGCCAGCAGACCGCGGCGGGCUGGCGGGGGGCUCCCGUCAGGCGCUGCCUCCCCUCAGCACGGCGCUGACAGGGACAGGGGCACCGCUCGGCGACCCCCCCCUCAGCCGCCCCCCCCUCGGGGCCGGGACCCCCUCAGCACCCGCCCGCCCCCCUCCGUCCCCCGGCGCCUGCGCGGCGGGGCCGGGGCGGGCUCUCGGCGGCGGCGCCCCCUCUCUCCCCCCCUUCCCCCCCCCCGCGGCGCCACCGGGCGGCCGUUGGCCGGGCGCGUGCCCGCGCGGGCGGGCGGGCGAGCGCGCUCCGGCGGGUGCGUGCGCGCGCGCGCUCCGGCGGGUGCGUGCGGGCCGCCUCCCCGCAGCGAGGCGCCGCUCUGGCCGGCGGCCGGGCGGAGGGGGCCCGGCGGGUCCGCGCGGGGGCAUGGAGAGCCUGCUGGAGAACCCGGUGCGCGCCGUGCUGUACCUGAAGGAGCUCACCGCCAUCGUGCAGAACCAGCAGAGCCUCAUCCACACCCAGCGGCAGCGCAUCGACGAGCUGGAGCGGCGGCUGGACGAGCUGAGCACCGAGAACCGCAGCCUGCGCGGCCAGCAGCCGGCCCCCGGCGAGCCCCCCGCCGCCGCCGCGCCCCCCCCGGGACCGCCGCCCGAGCACCCCCCGGGGCCGCCGCCGCCUUCGCCGCCUUCCCCGCCGCCUCCGCCGGGCCGGCCCGAACCGCUCCAGCACCACCAACAGCUCCCGGCUCCGCCGCAGCAGCAGCAGCCGCCCGCGGGGAAACCGGCGGCGGGGGGCGGCCCCGGGGGCGGCCGGGCGGCCGGGCACCAGCACCCCCCCGCGCAGCCCCCCGCGGAGAAGGAGGGCAGGGAGAAGGGGUGCUGCAGCGCCCUGCUCCACCACAAGACCCCGCCGGCCAUCGGGAAGGGCAUCCUGAGCAGGAGACCGGAGGGCAAGUGUCCGUGGCCCGCCUGAGCCCACCCGGGCUGCCCGCUCGCACAGCAUCGUGCCCUCAUCGCCUGACAUAA